RNAcentral lists this ribosomal RNA (500 nucleotides) under uncultured bacterium. Its description in RNAcentral is "partial 16S ribosomal RNA". It matches the Rfam family "Bacterial small subunit ribosomal RNA", at positions 30 to 523 of the family's 1533-position model. The record is from RNAcentral.
AUUGAACGCUGGCGGCAUGCCUUACACAUGCAAGUCGAACGGCAGCACGGGAGCAAUCCUGGUGGCGAGUGGCGAACGGGUGAGUAAAGUAUCGGAACAUGCCCAGUCGUGGGGGAUAACGUAGCGAAAGUUACGCUAAUACCGCAUACGAUCUAUGGAUGAAAGCGGGGGAUCGCAAGACCUCGCGCGAUUGGAGCGGCCGAUAUCGGAUUAGGUAGUUGGUGGGGUAAAGGCCCACCAAGCCGACGCUCUGUAGCUGGUCUGAGAGGACGACCAGCCACACUGGGACUGAGACACGGCCCAGACUCCUACGGGAGGCAGCAGUGGGGAAUUUUGGACAAUGGGCGAAAGCCUGAUCCAGCCAUGCCGCGUGCAGGAUGAAGGCCUUCGGGUUGUAAACUGCUUUUGUACGGAACGAAAAGGACUGCCCUAAUACGGUGGUCCCAUGACGGUACCGUAAGAAUAAGCACCGGCUAACUACGUGCCAGCAGCCGCCGUAA